UACGUAGGGUGCGAGCGUUGUCCGGAAUCAUUGGGCGUAAAGCGCGUGUAGGCGGUUCGGUAAGUCGGCUGUGAAAGUCCAGGGCUCAACCCUGGGAUGCCGGUCGAAACUGUCGGACUAGAGUUCGGAAGAGGCGAGUGGAAUUCCCGGUGUAGCGGUGAAAUGCGCAGAUAUCGGGAGGAACACCAAUGGCGAAGGCAGCUCGCUGGGACGUUACUGACGCUGAGACGCGAAAGCGUGGGGAGCAAACAGG
This 253-nucleotide ribosomal RNA is filed under the name uncultured bacterium. RNAcentral's name for it is "partial 16S ribosomal RNA". It matches the Rfam family "Bacterial small subunit ribosomal RNA", at positions 524 to 776 of the family's 1533-position model. The record is from RNAcentral.